RNAcentral lists this long non-coding RNA (1554 nucleotides) under Homo sapiens (human). RNAcentral's name for it is "HSALNT0103112". Lineage: Eukaryota; Metazoa; Chordata; Mammalia; Primates; Hominidae. The record is from RNAcentral.
GCUGGGGUGAACUUAUAAUGGUUGAGUGGAGCGCUCGGAAAUAGUUGGUCUUCAGUCUCGUCAGGGCCUCUGCUCACGAACGAAAGAGCUCAUUCAGAGCACAUCAAUAACCAGAACAUAGUGCAUAGUGUUGCAAUUCAACACAGGACUCCUAGACAAGCGACUCAAAGUUUCUGGGCGCUGGAGCUUGCCCGCUAGCUGCUGAAAUCCGCGGACACCACGUUCACACCUAAUUCUCACGAACCCGCAGAAAGGGAGUAUUGAAUUGAGAGUCCAAGCAACCUCAAGCCUCUGAAUACCCAUGGGAGAAGCAACGGGAAUUAAAUGAAGGCACGAGAGUGGGGGGUCAUCUGCGUUUACGUACAGUUAAAAUCUAAAUCAGGAGCUUCUUCGAUGACAUUCAACUGACUUACUCUUCCGAAGGAACGGCUAAAACCGGACUGGAGCGGGCGUGCUAGCUGAGGAGGGAGCUUGUUUCUGUCCUAACUGGAAAAGAUGACUCUGAAGAGGUCUCUGACUCUUCAGGUAAAAUCCUGCGGUGAACUCAUAAUGGAUGCGUGGAGCGCUGAGAAGCAGUUGGUCUUCACAGUCUCGUGCAGGUCUCUCCUCAUGAGUGAAAGAGCUCUUUCAGAACACAACAAGAACCAGAAUAUUGCACUUAGUGUUGCAAUUCAAUACAGGACUCCUAGACAAGCGACUCAAAGUUCCUGGGCGCUGGAGCUUGCCCACUAGCCACUGAUAUCCGCGGACAUCACGUUCACACCUAAUUCUCACGAACCCGCAGAAAAGGAGUAUUGAAUUGAGAGUCCAAGCAACCUCAAGUCUGUAAAUGCCAAUGGGAGAAGCAACGGGAAAUAAGGGAACGCAUGAGAGUGGGGAGUCAUCUGCAUUUAAGCACAAUUAAUAUCUAAAUCAGGAGCCUCUUCGAUGGCGUUCAACUGACUUGCUCUUCCAAAAGAACGGCUAAAACUGGACUGGCGCGGGCUUGCGAGAGCUUGGAAGGACCCUGUAGGAGCUGCCUAGCAGUUCGGAUCACAGAACACUGUUCCCAAGAGGACCCCUUAUUCUGAUGUUUUGAUGGAAGGAGACUACGCGGGGAGGCAUUCCCAGAGACCAAGCUUCCUGCUCCAUCCGCUUCUGAUGGUGUUCCAGGAAACACCCGCAACAAUUGCGACAAGCUCUAACAUUUGCUGCAGAAUUUUGAGUUAUAGCAAUGAUUUGAACAACCUCAAAUGGCCAUCGAUGUUUGACUUUUAAAAUAAAUUUUGGAAGAUCCAUAUAAUGGAAGAUUCUGCAAUUGAUAAAAGGAAUGAGAUGCACUUCUAUUUACUGAAAGGAAAUGCACUAGUAUUUCAGUGGUAGCCCAGUAAGAGGCUACACUUAGUAAGAGGAUACACUAGAAAUCCACUUAUUGUCAGUUUGAGAGCCUGGUAUUGCCUCUAAGAAACUUCAUCUUUUCCCCUUGACAACUCCCCCUUUGACCUCCAGUAAAGGACUCCCCCUGCAUCUCAAAUCAAAGGUAGAUUUUUACUACCUUUUUUUUUUCUUUUUUAA